This 101-nucleotide small RNA is filed under the name Pseudomonas aeruginosa PAK. RNAcentral's name for it is "PhrS ncRNA (RF01673)". It matches the Rfam family "PhrS", at positions 78 to 181 of the family's 212-position model. Lineage: Bacteria; Pseudomonadati; Pseudomonadota; Gammaproteobacteria; Pseudomonadales; Pseudomonadaceae. The record is from RNAcentral.
GCCUCAUGGUCGCUUUCUUCGGUGGGGUCGGUUACUUCAUCUGGAAGGAUUCCCAUAGCCGCAAAGGCUGAUCCUCCCGGAUACACAGAGCACGCAAGGCA